GGGGCAAUGGCGUAGUUGGGAGCGCGUUUGACUGAAGUAAGAACUUCACCACUACGGGAUUUGGCCCAGCCAAUUCCAGUUAGCAAUCAGAAGGUCACCGGUUCGAUCCCGGUUUGCCCCA
Transfer RNA from Paracoccidioides brasiliensis, 121 nucleotides. It matches the Rfam family "tRNA". Rfam says of the family: Transfer RNA (tRNA) molecules are approximately 80 nucleotides in length. Their secondary structure includes four short double-helical elements and three loops (D, anti-codon, and T loops). Further hydrogen bonds mediate the characteristic L-shaped molecular structure. tRNAs have two regions of fundamental functional importance: the anti-codon, which is responsible for specific mRNA codon recognition, and the 3' end, to which the tRNAs corresponding amino acid is attached (by aminoacyl-tRNA synthetases). tRNAs cope with the degeneracy of the genetic code in two manners: having more than one tRNA (with a specific anti-codon) for a particular amino acid; and 'wobble' base-pairing, i.e. permitting non-standard base-pairing at the 3rd anti-codon position. Lineage: Eukaryota; Fungi; Ascomycota; Eurotiomycetes; Onygenales; Ajellomycetaceae. The record is from Rfam.